Molecule: ribosomal RNA, 255 nt
Filed under: uncultured bacterium
Lineage: Bacteria
Description: partial 16S ribosomal RNA
Rfam family: Bacterial small subunit ribosomal RNA
Source: RNAcentral
UACGUAGGUGGCAAGCGUUGUCCGGAUUUAUUGGGUUUAAAGGGUGCGUAGGCGGUCUUUUAAGUCAGUGCUGAAAUAUCCCGGCUUAACCGGGAGGGUGGCAUUGAUACUGAAGGACUUGAGUUCAGUCGAGGUAGGCGGAAUUGACGGUGUAGCGGUGAAAUGCUUAGAUAUCGUCAAGAACACCGAUAGUGUAGACAGCUUACUAGGCUGAAACUGACGCUGAGGCACGAAAAGUGUGGGGAUCAAAACAGG